This 497-nucleotide ribosomal RNA is filed under the name uncultured bacterium. Its description in RNAcentral is "partial 16S ribosomal RNA". It matches the Rfam family "Bacterial small subunit ribosomal RNA", at positions 28 to 507 of the family's 1533-position model. The record is from RNAcentral.
GAUGAACGCUGGCGGCGUGCCUAAUACAUGCAAGUCGAGCGAACAGAUAAGGAGCUUGCUCCUUUGACGUUAGCGGCGGACGGGUGAGUAACACGUGGGUAACCUACCUAUAAGACUGGAAUAACUCCGGGAAACCGGGGCUAAUGCCGGAUAACAUUUAGAACCGCAUGGUUCUAAAGUGAAAGAUGGUUUUGCUAUCACUUAUAGAUGGACCCGCGCCGUAUUAGCUAGUUGGUAAGGUAACGGCUUACCAAGGCAACGAUACGUAGCCGACCUGAGAGGGUGAUCGGCCACACUGGAACUGAGACACGGUCCAGACUCCUACAGGAGGCAGCAGUAGGGAAUCUUCCGCAAAGGGCGAAAGCCUGACGGAGCAACGCCGCGUGAGUGAUGAAGGUCUUCGGAUCGUAAAACUCUGUUAUUAGGGAAGAACAAAUGUGUAAGUAACUGUGCACGUCUUGACGGUACCUAAUCAGAAAGCCACGGCUAACUACGUG